This is an RNA transcript of Pongo pygmaeus (Bornean orangutan), 3764 nucleotides long. It is a transcript of the gene named zinc finger protein 146, with no coding region annotated. The transcript is spliced from 3 exons. The record is from RefSeq and is a predicted model, not a curated record. Lineage: Eukaryota; Metazoa; Chordata; Mammalia; Primates; Hominidae.
ACAGGGUUUCACCAUGUUGGCCAGGCUGGUCUCGAACUCCUGACUUCCUACCUACCUUGGCCUCCCAAAGUGCUGGGAUUUCAGGCAUGAGCCAUUGAGCCCAGCUUUUAAAAUGCAUAUCACUAACGAUGUAUAUAGUCAAAGAACUCUGUUCUAAAGUCAUUUGAAAUCGUUUUUCUGAGGAAUUAUGUUACUAAAUUAACAUACAGUUGGGUUCAUUUGUUGUUUUCAGUUUAAGGGACAGCUUUUUUUUUUUUUUUUUUUUUGAGAGACCGAGUCUCAUUCUGUCGCCCAGACUGGAGUGCAGUGGUGGGAUCUCGGCUCACUGCAAGCUCUGCCUCCCGGGUUCACGCCAUUCUCCUGCCUCAGCCUCCCCAGCAGCUGGGACUACAGGUGUCAGCCACCAUGCCUGGCUAAUUUUUUGUAUUUUUAGUAGAGACGAGGUUUCACCAUGUUAGCCAGGAUGGUCUCGAGCUCCUGACCUUGUGAUCUGCGCGCCUCGGCCUCCCAAAGUACUGGGAUUACAGGCGUGAGCCACCAUGCCUGGCCAAGGGACUGCUUUUUAAAAAAUGAAUUUGAUUACUGUUGAACAGGUUAUAUGAUCCUCUGUUGAAGCAAGAAGACAAACUGUAUGGUGGAGAAAGAAGUGGGAAGGAUCUGUGCAGAAGAAGCCUGAGAGGAUGAUGCAGAGAGAGAGAGGCACCAGGACUUGGGAGGCACGUUGAUCCAUCUCCAGGAAAGACUGAGAAAAAGAGCAUUGAAUAUAAGAAAAAAUACUUCCUCUGUUCUCAGAUCUUAUUUGUUUUAAGGCCACACCUUUUUGAAGUUUUGAGUUUGAAACACAACCUGGACUGAAAUCACGAGGGAGGUUGUGUAGGAAAGAAUCAUCAAGGGACUUAGUUGGGAGCUUCUCUACCACAGCUUACUCCUUAUGGUAUUAACCCCCUUUAAGUGUAAAUGCCUUUGGUUUAAAACGUUUGUACCUCAUCUGUUACCAGAGUGUUCAUACUGGAGAGAAACCCUAUGAAUUUACUGAAUGUGGGGGAACUGUUACUCAUAUGUUGCAUUUCGUCGAACGUGGAAGUCAUGCUGAAGAGAAACCCUGUGCUUCUAAGGAGUAUUGACAAGCCCUUAGCUAGAUGACAAUCUCAUUGAGAAGCAGAAAAUUCAUGCUGGAGAGAAACUAGUGAAGGUAGCAAUACUUCAUUGAAUAUUAGAAAAUUUUUCUAGAGAGAAAGCAUUGAAUGUACUGAGUAUGAUAACAUUUCCUCUCAAACCUUAUCCCUUAGUCUGCAUUUGGGAGAUCAUACACAGAGAAGCCUUAUAAAUGUAAGAGAUGUGGAAAUAUCUUCAGCCAAAAGUAAAUCCUCACUCAUCAAGAAAUUUUUACUGGAGAGAAACCUUGUGAAUGUGGGAAAGCUUCCAUUCAGAUGUCACACCUCAGCCAGCAGAGAAUUUACAGUGGGGAAAACCCCUUUGCCUGUAAGGUAUGUGGGAAAGUCUUCAGCCACAAGUCAAACCUCACUGAGCAUGAGCAUUUUCACACGAGAGAGAAACCUUUUGAAUGUAAUGAGUGUGGAAAAGCCUUUAGCCAAAAGCAGUAUGUCAUUAAACAUCAGAACACCCAUACCGGCGAGAAGCUUUUCGAAUGUAAUGAAUGUGGAAAAUCCUUUAGCCAGAAGGAAAACCUCCUUACGCACCAGAAAAUUCACACUGGAGAAAAACCUUUUGAGUGUAAAGAUUGCGGGAAAGCUUUCAUUCAGAAGUCAAACCUCAUCAGACACCAGAGAACUCACACAGGAGAGAAGCCCUUUGUAUGUAAGGAGUGUGGAAAAACCUUCAGUGGCAAAUCCAACCUUACUGAGCAUGAGAAAAUCCAUAUUGGAGAGAAGCCUUUUAAAUGUAGUGAAUGUGGAACAGCCUUUGGCCAGAAGAAGUACCUCAUAAAACAUCAGAACAUUCACACUGGAGAGAAACCCUAUGAAUGUAACGAAUGUGGAAAAGCCUUCUCUCAGCGAACAUCACUUAUUGUACAUGUGAGGAUUCAUUCAGGUGAUAAACCUUACGAAUGCAAUGUUUGUGGAAAAGCCUUCUCUCAGAGCUCAUCUCUCACCGUGCAUGUGAGAAGCCAUACAGGGGAGAAGCCCUAUGGUUGUAAUGAAUGUGGGAAAGCUUUCUCUCAGUUCUCAACCCUUGCUCUGCAUUUGAGAAUACACACAGGUAAGAAGCCUUAUCAGUGCAGUGAAUGUGGGAAAGCUUUCAGCCAGAAGUCACACCACAUUAGACACCAGAAAAUUCAUACUCACUAAAAACCCCAUGAACACCUUGAAAGUGGGAAAGCUUUCAUUAGAAAUUUGCAUCUCAUCAUGCCCCAGAAAUAAUCCUUCUGAAGCAAAGCACCAUGAAUGAGGUUAACUUUAACAAGUACUAAAAACUUAAGGGACACCAGAAAAUUUGUACUGAAGAGAAAGACAUGCAUAUGAUUAAAAGCCUGUGUCCAACAGAGAAACCUGCAGCAGAGAUAAUGGUGAAAGUUUAGGCACAUUUUCACUAAAAAUGGGAACAGAAAAUGGAGGCCUGCUUUUUAUUGCUACCACCAUAGAUCUGGAGAUCUUCACCGGUAACAAGAAAAAUAAGUUGUAAAUAUUGGAAAGGAACAGACAAAAAUAGAUGACAUGGUCAUCUACAACUAGUAUUUUAAGACUCCUGUGGUAUUGAUUCAACAGAGCAGAAGAGAUUUCAAAAAAAGACCUAUGCAUUUAUUAGAAUUUGGAAUAUGAUACAAGUGGCAUCAAGAAGUGAGGAAAUAAUGGAACUAUUUUUUUUAAGUGGAGGUAGUUUGUUCUCCAAGGGGGAAAAAUAGACCAUAAACUAUACACAAAAGUGAAUCCAGAGAUUAAAAACAGAAAUAUGGAAAAGCUAUAUACUAAAAUGCAUAUGACCUUGGGAAUAGGGAAACAUUCCUUGGAACAACUUGAGAAAUACUUAGCAGUUCUACUUGUGAGUAUGAAUGCUCAGGAAAUACGCACUAGGAUAUUUACUGUGGCUUGAUUUGUAGUAGCCAAAAAUUAGAAACAACUGAGAAAGCCCAUCACGAACAAUAUGGGAAAUUCUUAUGUAAUACUAUAUAUCUGUAAAAUGCAACAAAUGAAAUCCACAUGUAUUAACAGAAAGAUCCCAAAAUUGUUGAGGGGGAAUCAAGUUGCAGAAUGAUACAGAUAGUACAAUGACUUUUUGUAAAUUUCAAUUAAAAGUUUCCUCACAAAACUCAGUACUAUCUAUUGGUAAUGGAUGCAUGUAUGUAUGUACAUGUUUUUGAAAUGGAUUGGAAGGAUACAGACCAAACUCUUGAUAGUGGUCACCUGUGAAGAGUGGAGAAGGGAAAGUAACAAGUGUGGGAGGUGGGAUGGGUAUUGGUUAAAGGGGACUUCAGCUUUUUAUAUAAACAUCCACUUCUCUUUCAAAAGACUUCAAGUAAAUAUAAGAAGAUACUGAUUGAUUCUGGAUUGUGGUAUAGGGAUAUCUUGUCUUAUUUUUUGUACUUUUCUGUAUUUUUAAAAUUUCUCAAAAUAGGAAUGGGAGUGAGGAUGGGAAUGCUGUAUCUGUGGAAGUCAUGUUAAACUGGAUUCAUUUCCAAUCAAAUACUAAACAUUUUAUAGAAAAUAUUUCUAAAAUUUUAUCACGGAUGAAUGGAUGGACUUGCUCUCUAUGUAAUAUGAAAUUAAUCUAUUUUAUUAAAAUUUAAAAGGACAGCACAAUCCAAA